GCGCCGCGACGAACGCAAGCCGCCAACCCCCGUGUUCCCCCCUUCCCCAACCAGCCUCCUCGUCCUCCCCGCCCCCCCGGCAGUGCGGCUCCGGCUCCGAGCCACCGGCGCCGGCCAUUGCGGGUCGGUUCGUCCGAGAGUCGCCCCGCCCACGGUGCUCUCCGAAUCGCGCCGCCAUUGCUUGCCCACUUCACAUUUUCCAGCGAAUCACUUGGGCAACGGUAGUCUGAACUCUGAAGGCUGGGUGUUUGUUUUCAGUAUUUUACCUCUUCUUCGGUGCUCACUUUUUCUGGCAAUGCUGAGGCGCCAAAUGGUUGCCCAAGUGAAUUGAGGCAGAUGGAUCGAACCCGUCUCCAGAAAGCUGCCGAGACCACUAUUUUGGAUGAAACGAACGAGAGCGAUCUGGAUCUACCCGUGGAUUGAGUUAAGUCUUCUCCAAGAUUUUCCUGGGCCUGCCUGUCAUAUGUACUGAGAUGUCGAUCAUCAGUUGUCCGUCGCCUUACAUGUCAAAAUAUCAGAUCCUGAAUCUGACAUUUUAUUCAGAUGUUUUGUUGACAAGCCGUGGAAACCAACUUAAAAAGUCAAUAUAAAUGUUCCUGAAGCUGUUCAGUGUGGACAGUGACCACAUUGAUA
Panicum virgatum (switchgrass) is the source of this 633-nucleotide long non-coding RNA. RefSeq lists it as uncharacterized. NCBI's taxonomy places the organism in Eukaryota, Viridiplantae, Streptophyta, Magnoliopsida, Poales, Poaceae. The record is from RefSeq and is a predicted model, not a curated record. The transcript is spliced from 3 exons.